RNAcentral lists this transfer RNA (69 nucleotides) under Acheilognathus omeiensis. Its description in RNAcentral is "tRNA-Ser". The record is from RNAcentral. Lineage: Eukaryota; Metazoa; Chordata; Actinopteri; Cypriniformes; Acheilognathidae.
AAGAAGGGAUGUGAAUCAAUAAGUACUGCUAAUCCUUAGGCCCCGGGGUUAAACUCCCCGGCCUUCUUA